Molecule: long non-coding RNA, 978 nt
Organism: Pongo pygmaeus (Bornean orangutan)
Lineage: Eukaryota; Metazoa; Chordata; Mammalia; Primates; Hominidae
Exons: 3
Source: RefSeq, a predicted model, not a curated record
CAAAAGAGAGACUGGGGGCUGCUGCCCUGACCAGUCCUCUGUCCCUGAAGGUAGGAGGCCGGUGUUGGAGAUGGGGGUUCUUUGAUGCAGACCCAGAGUUUCAAGAUGGCAGCCCAGAUUGGAGAACCAUCUGCAAGGACCUGACCCCCACUGUCUCAUCCUGUAGUAGAUGGAGAGGCUCUGAGGCCGUGGACAGGCGUGGGCCACGGAGACAUCCACUACAGGAGAAACCAGGUUACAAUUCUCCCGCCCUGAACCACCCAGGUGAAUUUCAGUGCCAGGAAUGUGACAGCAGGCUCCAAUUCAGCAAAGACUUUGAGCACCAUGUGACCUUUUCUUUCUCUCCUGUUCAAGCCACCUAGGAAUGCUGGGGUGGGAGAAGGGCUGUGACCUCAAUGCAAGCCCCCUGGUGACACCGUCCCUCCAUUCCUGGAUGUGCUCAGCAACCCUGUGCAGUGCAGCUUCCUGGAGGAGGUGACAUUUGCACUGGGCCUUAAAAGAUGGGUAGAUUUAGAAAAGUGGAAACAGCCCAAGUGGUCAUAGACCCAUAAAUGGAUAAGCAAAAUGUGGUCUAUCCAUGCAGUGAAAUAAUCCUCAGCUUUACAGAGGAAUAAAAUUCUGACGCGUGCUACAAUGCUGGGUGAACCUCGAGGACAUCAUGCUAAGGGAAAUAAGCCAGCCACAAAAUGACAAAUGCUGCAUGAUUCCACUUAUAGGAGGUCCCUAGAGGGGUCAAAUCCAUAGAGACGGAAGUAGAACAGGAGAUGUCAGGGCUGGGAGAAAAGGGAAUGGGAAGUUAGUGUUUCAUGGGUACAGAAUUUCAGUUAGGGAAGAUGGAAAAGUUCUGGAAAUGGACGGUGGUGAUGGUUGCACAACAAUGUGAAGUAAUGCCCCUGAACUCUAUUGCUUAAUGCCCCUGAACUCUAUUACUUAAUGCCUCUGAACUGUAUACCACUUAAUGCCAUGAAACUGUACUUA